RNAcentral lists this ribosomal RNA (529 nucleotides) under uncultured bacterium. RNAcentral describes it as "bacterial SSU rRNA". It matches the Rfam family "Bacterial small subunit ribosomal RNA", at positions 777 to 1304 of the family's 1533-position model. The record is from RNAcentral.
AAUAGAUACCCAGGUAGUCCACGCCGUAAACGAUGAGUGCUAAGUGUUAGGGGGUUUCCGCCCCUUAGUGCUGCAGCUAACGCAUUAAGCACUCCGCCUGGGGAGUACGGCCGCAAGGCUGAAACUCAAAGGAAUUGACGGGGGCCCGCACAAGCGGUGGAGCAUGUGGUUUAAUUCGAAGCAACGCGAAGAACCUUACCAGGUCUUGACAUCUCCUGACCGCCCUGGAGACAGGGUCUUCCCUUCGGGGACAGGAUGACAGGUGGUGCAUGGUUGUCGUCAGCUCGUGUCGUGAGAUGUUGGGUUAAGUCCCGCAACGAGCGCAACCCUUGUCCUUAGUUGCCAGCAUUCAGUUGGGCACUCUAAGGAGACUGCCGGCUAAAAGUCGGAGGAAGGUGGGGAUGACGUCAAAUCAUCAUGCCCCUUAUGACCUGGGCUACACACGUGCUACAAUGGGCGGUACAGAGGGUCGCGAACCCGCGAGGGGGGAGCCAAUCCCAAAAAACCGGCUCUCAGUUCGGAUUGCAGG